Molecule: ribosomal RNA, 253 nt
Filed under: uncultured bacterium
Lineage: Bacteria
Description: partial 16S ribosomal RNA
Rfam family: Bacterial small subunit ribosomal RNA
Source: RNAcentral
UACAGAGGGGGCUAGCGUUAUUCGGAAUUAUUGGGCGUAAAGGGCGCGUAGGCGGCCAUGCGUGUCUUCCGUGAAAUCCCUCGGCUUAACUGAGGACGUGCGGAAGAAACUGCAAGGCUUGAGUCCGGGAGAGGGGGGUGGAAUUCCCAGUGUAGCGGUGAAAUGCGUAGAUAUUGGGAGGAACACCGGUGGCGAAGGCGGCCCCCUGGACCGGUACUGACGCUGAGGCGCGAAAGCGUGGGGAGUGAACAGG